UCCUCCUCAGGUUUGAUUAAUUUGCUAGACUGGCUCACAUAACUUAGAGAAACACUUCACCCACUUGAUCAUCAGUUUAUUAUCAAAGGAUAUAACACUCAGGAACAGUCACAUGGAAGAGAUACAGAGGCUGAAAAUCAAAAGCGAAUUUUGAUCCUGUGGAUUACCAAAGCAAUGCCUGUUGAAUUCAGUCCCACCAAGUGUCUUUUGUGUAAGAAACAAGAGAUUCAUUGUGGAGAGCAAGGAAAAUAAAGAGACGUUGGAAGGAAAAAUGCAAAUAAUCUCUCCACUUAGAG
This is a long non-coding RNA of Neofelis nebulosa (Clouded leopard), 296 nucleotides long. RefSeq lists it as uncharacterized. The transcript is spliced from 3 exons. The record is from RefSeq and is a predicted model, not a curated record. Lineage: Eukaryota; Metazoa; Chordata; Mammalia; Carnivora; Felidae.